This 253-nucleotide ribosomal RNA is filed under the name uncultured Gardnerella sp. RNAcentral describes it as "partial 16S ribosomal RNA". It matches the Rfam family "Bacterial small subunit ribosomal RNA", at positions 100 to 356 of the family's 1533-position model. The record is from RNAcentral. Lineage: Bacteria; Bacillati; Actinomycetota; Actinomycetes; Bifidobacteriales; Bifidobacteriaceae.
GGGGUAGAGUAAUGCGUGACCAACCUGCCCCGUGCUCCAGAAUAGCUCUUGGAAACGGGUGGUAAUGCUGGAUGCUCCAACUUGACGCAUGUCUUGCUGGGAAAGUGUUUAGUGGCAUGGGAUGGGGUCGCGUCCUAUCAGCUUGUAGGCGGGGUAAUGGCCCACCUAGGCUUCGACGGGUAGCCGGCCUGAGAGGGCGGACGGCCACAUUGGGACUGAGAUACGGCCCAGACUCCUACGGGAGGCAGCAGCG